RNAcentral lists this ribosomal RNA (861 nucleotides) under uncultured archaeon. RNAcentral describes it as "bacterial SSU rRNA". It matches the Rfam family "Archaeal small subunit ribosomal RNA", at positions 26 to 893 of the family's 1478-position model. The record is from RNAcentral.
ACUGCUAUCGGAUUGAUACUAAGCCAUGCGAGUCAUUGUAGUAAUACAAGGCAGACGGCUCAGUAACGCGUAGUCAACCUACCCUAUGGACGGGAAUAACCUCGGGAAACUGAGAAUAAUGCCCGAUAGAACAUUAUGCCUGGAAUGGUUUAUGUUCCAAAUGAUUUAUCGCCGUAGGAUGGGACUGCGUCCUAUCAGUUUGUUGGUGAGGUAAUGGCCCACCAAGACUAUUACAGGUACGGGCUCUGAGAGGAGUGGCCCGGAGAUGGGUACUGAGACACGGACCCAGGCCCUAUGGGGCGCAGCAGGCGAGAAAACUUUGCAAUGUGCGAAAGCACGACAAGGUUAAUCCGAGUGGUUUCUGCUAAAGGAACCUUUUGUCGGUCCUAGAAACACCGAUGAAUAAGGGGUGGGCAAGUUCUGGUGUCAGCCGCCGCGGUAAAACCAGCACCUCAAGUUGUCAGGAUGAUUAUUGGGCCUAAAGCAUCCGUAGCCGGCUCUGUUAGUUUUCGGUUAAAUCUAUACGCUCAACGUAUAGGCUGCCGGGAAUACUGCAGAGCUAGGGAGUGGGAGAGGUAGACGGUACUCGGUAGGAAGGGGUAAAAUCCUUUGAUCUAUUGAUGACCACCUGUGGCGAAAGCGGUCUACCAGAACACGUCCGACGGUGAGGGAUGAAAGCUGGGGGAGCAAACCGGAUUAGAUACCCGGGUAGUCCCAGCUGUAAACUAUGCAAACUCAGUGAUGCAUUGGCUUGUGGCCAAUGCAGUGCUGCAGGGAAGCCGUUAAGUUUGCCGCCUGGGAAGUACGUACGCAAGUAUGAAACUUAAAGGAAUUGGCGGGGGAGCACCACCAGGGGUGAAG